Molecule: long non-coding RNA, 425 nt
Organism: Grus americana (Whooping crane)
Lineage: Eukaryota; Metazoa; Chordata; Aves; Gruiformes; Gruidae
Exons: 3
Source: RefSeq, a predicted model, not a curated record
CCCAGCUCAUUUUUCAGCCCUGCCUGCGCCUGCCCAGCUCUGCCUGCCCGGACUGCACAGCCACAGGUCCAGCUCCUGGAUGGCUCCAGUGCAGUUUUGGCUGCAGCUCUUGGACACCUCCAGCUCCUGGAUGGCUCUGGCUAGUUUCAGCUCCUGUUUGUAGAUGGCUCCAGCUCGUCCAGCUCAUUUGUAGCUUCAGGUCCAGCUCUUGGACACCUCCAGCUCCUGGAUGGCUCUGGACAGUUUCAGCUCCUGUUUGUGGACGGCUCCAGCUGGUUCUGGCUCCAGCUCAUUUGCAGCUUCACCUUCAUUGUUCCUGGCCCAGCUCAUUUUUCAGCCCUGCCUGCGCCUGCCCAGCUCUGCCUGCCCGGACUGCACAGCCACAGGUCGGUUGUUUGGGUUUGGGUGGUUGUUUUAGUGUUGGU